Long non-coding RNA from Neomonachus schauinslandi (Hawaiian monk seal), 100 nucleotides. RefSeq lists it as uncharacterized. The transcript is spliced from 3 exons. The record is from RefSeq and is a predicted model, not a curated record. Lineage: Eukaryota; Metazoa; Chordata; Mammalia; Carnivora; Phocidae.
GCAAGAGGUUCCCCAAUAGAAAAGCGCUUGAAGUAACGGAAAGAAGUAUAAUGUGCCCUGGACAUAUAAUUGAGACCGACAAACAGAAGGUCAUCGUGAG